UGAGGAAUAUUGGUCAAUGGGCGAGAGCCUGAACCAGCCAAGUAGCGUGCAGGAUGACGGCCCUAUGGGUUGUAAACUGCUUUUACGCGGGGAUAAAGUGCGUGAGGUGUCGCGCAUCGCAGGUACCGCGUGAAUAAGGACCGGCUAAUUCCGUGCCAGCAGCCGCGGUAAUACGGAAGGUCCGGGCGUUAUCCGGAUUUAUUGGGUUUAAAGGGAGCGCAGGCCGCCCGAUAAGCGUGUUGUGAAAUGUACCGGCUCAACCGGUGAGUUGCAGCGCGAACUGUCAGGCUUGAGUGCACGGUAAGCAGGCGGAAUUCAUGGUGUAGCGGUGAAAUGCUUAGAUAUCAUGAGGAACUCCGAUUGCGAAGGCAGCUUGCUGCAGUGCGACUGACGCUUAGGCUCGAAGGUGCGGGUAUCAAACAGG
This 424-nucleotide ribosomal RNA is filed under the name Verrucomicrobiota bacterium. Its description in RNAcentral is "Verrucomicrobia bacterium partial 16S ribosomal RNA". It matches the Rfam family "Bacterial small subunit ribosomal RNA", at positions 355 to 776 of the family's 1533-position model. The record is from RNAcentral. Lineage: Bacteria; Pseudomonadati; Verrucomicrobiota.